CCUACGGGAGGCAGCAGUGAGGAAUAUUGGUCAAUGGGCGAGAGCCUGAACCAGCCAAGUCACGUGAAGGAUGAAGGAUCUAUGGUUUGUAAACUUCUUUUAUAUGGGAAUAAAGUGAGGAACGUGUUCCUUUUUGUAUGUACCAUAUGAAUAAGCAUCGGCUAACUCCGUGCCAGCAGCCGCGGUAAUACGGAGGAUGCGAGCGUUAUCCGGAUUUAUUGGGUUUAAAGGGUGCGUAGGUGGUUAAUUAAGUCAGCGGUGAAAGUUUGUGGCUCAACCAUAAAAUUGCCGUUGAAACUGGUUGACUUGAGUAUAUUUGAGGUAGGCGGAAUGCGUGGUGUAGCGGUGAAAUGCAUAGAUAUCACGCAGAACUCCGAUUGCGAAGGCAGCUUACUAAACUAUAACUGACACUGAAGCACGAAAGCGUGGGUAUCAAACAGGAUUAGAUACCCGAGUAGUC
RNAcentral lists this ribosomal RNA (460 nucleotides) under uncultured bacterium. RNAcentral's name for it is "partial 16S ribosomal RNA". It matches the Rfam family "Bacterial small subunit ribosomal RNA", at positions 338 to 795 of the family's 1533-position model. The record is from RNAcentral.